AUCUAUGACCAUACCACCCUGAACGCGCCUGAUCUCGUCUGAUCUCAGAAGCUAAGCAGAGUCAGGCUUAGUUAGUACUUGGAUGAGAGCAUAUUGGGAUUGAAUACUGGCAGCAUCAUUUACC
RNAcentral lists this ribosomal RNA (124 nucleotides) under Prolemur simus (greater bamboo lemur). Lineage: Eukaryota; Metazoa; Chordata; Mammalia; Primates; Lemuridae. The record is from RNAcentral.